AGUGAACGCUGGCGGUAGGCCUAACACAUGCAAGUCGAACGGCAGCACAGUAAGAGCUUGCUCUUACGGGUGGCGAGUGGCGGACGGGUGAGGAGUACAUCGGAAUCUACUUUUUCGUGGGGGAUAACGUAGGGAAACUUACGCUAAUACCGCAUACGACCUACGGGUGAAAGCAGGGGAUCUUCGGACCUUGCGCGAUUGAAUGGGCCGAUGUCGGAUUAGCUAGUUGGCGGGGUAAAGGCCCACCAAGGCGACGAUCCGUAGCUGGUCUGAGAGGAUGAUCAGCCACACUGGAACUGAGACACGGUCCAGACUCCUACGGGAGGCAGCAGUGGGGAAUAUUGGACAAUGGGCGCAAGCCUGAUCCAGCCAUACCGCGUGGGUGAAGAAGGCCUUCGGGUUGUAAAGCCCUUUUGUUGGGAAAGAAAAGCAGCAGGUUAAUACCCCGCUGUUCUGACGGUACCCAAAGAAUAAGCACCGGCUAACUUCGUG
Molecule: ribosomal RNA, 492 nt
Filed under: uncultured bacterium
Lineage: Bacteria
Description: partial 16S ribosomal RNA
Rfam family: Bacterial small subunit ribosomal RNA
Source: RNAcentral